Molecule: ribosomal RNA, 1869 nt
Filed under: Triticum aestivum (bread wheat)
Lineage: Eukaryota; Viridiplantae; Streptophyta; Magnoliopsida; Poales; Poaceae
Description: partial small subunit ribosomal RNA
Source: RNAcentral
AUGGAGUCGCUCGCCCUCCUCAGCGCCAAGCCCGGCCUCUCUCUCCGGGCGGGGCCCCGCCUCCCGCUCCCGCGCCUCCGGGCCGCCCGCGCGUCCCUCUCCACCGCGUCCAGCUCCAGGCCCGCCGCCCUCCAGUCCCCACUCCUCUCGUCGAGGCCCCCCUCCUCGCAGGACGCCGUCCUGGGGUAUGGGCUCUUGAAGCGCAGGACCAGUGCUGGUGCUGGCGUCUCUUGCAGCGCGGCGGCCGCGGCGGCGGUGCCGCAGCCCCCGGCGCAGCCGGAGGUCAAGAAGUUCCUCGGCGUGGGCCUCCCGACGCUCAAGAAGAUCGUGCCCCUGGGCCUGAUGUUCUUCUGCAUCCUCUUCAACUACACCAUCCUUCGGGACACCAAGGACGUGCUGGUGGUGACCGCCAAGGGGAGCAGCGCGGAAAUCAUCCCCUUCCUCAAGACCUGGGUCAACCUGCCCAUGGCCAUCGGCUUCAUGCUCGCAUACUCCAAGCUCUCCGACGUGCUCUCCCGGGAGGCGCUCUUCUACACCGUCAUAUUCCCCUUCAUCGCCUUCUUCGGCCUCUUCGGCUUCGUGCUCUACCCGCUCAGGGAUGCCAUCCAUCCCACCGCCCUCGCCGACAAGCUUCUGGCGGCGCUCGGCCCGAGCUUCCUUGGACCGGUAGCUAUCCUCAGGAUUUGGAGCUUCUGCUUAUUCUAUGUCAUGGCCGAGCUGUGGGGCAGCGUCGUCGUCUCUGUCCUCUUCUGGGGUUUUGCCAACCAGAUCACCACAGUCGAUGAAGCAAAAGAAUUCUACCCUCUAUUUGGCCUUGGGGCAAAUAUUGCGCUUAUCUUUUCUGGGCGUACUGUGAAAUAUUUCUCAAAUUUGCGGAAGACAAUGGGUCCAGGAGUUGAUGGUUGGGAGGUAUCUUUGAAAGGAAUGAUGGGCAUAGUGGUACUUCUUGGGCUUGUCAUUACUUCCAUCUAUUGGGGAGUGAACAAACUUGUGUUGAAUGAUCCUUCUCUUCCAAAAUCUGACCACAAGAAGAAAAAGAACAAACCUAAGCUUAGCAUGAAAGAGAGUAUGAAAGUUCUGAUCUCUUCAAAAUAUGUGAGGGACCUUGCUACCUUAGUCGUUGCAUAUGGCAUUAGUAUCAAUCUUGUGGAAGUCACAUGGAAAUCGAAGCUCAAGGCACAGUUCCCCAGUCCAAACGAGUACUCAUCUUUCAUGGGUGAUUUCUCUACCGCAACUGGAAUUGCAACUUUCACAAUGAUGCUGUUAGGUCGGAUUAUAUUCCAAAGAUUUGGCUGGGGAGUGGCUGCCAUGAUCACCCCCACAGUUUUGUUGCUGACUGGCGUUGGUUUCUUCUCUCUGAUUUUGUUUGGGCAACCACUGACUCCCCUGCUUGCCACAUGGGGUAUGACCCCUCUUCUUGCGGCUGUUUAUGUGGGUGCGCUGCAGAACAUAUUUAGCAAAAGUGCAAAGUACAGUUUAUUCGACCCGUGCAAGGAAAUGGCCUAUAUUCCUUUGGAUGGAGAUAUGAAGUUGAAGGGAAAGGCAGCCAUUGAUGUUGUCUGCAAUCCAUUGGGCAAAUCGGGUGGUGCGCUGAUCCAACAGUUUUUGAUCCUGAUAUUUGGCUCUUUGGCAAACUCGACCCCCUACCUUGGCGGUAUACUGUUGGUCAUCGUGCUUGCAUGGCUAGGCGCGGCAAGAUCAUUGGACAAGCAAUUCUCAAGCUUGGCCAAAGAGGAUCUCAGAAAGGAGAUGUCGAAAGAGAAAGUAGAAACGGCGGCACCCAAGGAACCUGAGGCGGCUACUGAUGUAUUGGUGGAGCAAUCAAAUGGAACUGAGAACUCACCAUCCGACUCAUCUCCAGCUCAAUAG